This 337-nucleotide long non-coding RNA is filed under the name Mustela putorius furo (domestic ferret). Its description in RNAcentral is "lncRNA (ENSMPUG00000029232.1)". Lineage: Eukaryota; Metazoa; Chordata; Mammalia; Carnivora; Mustelidae. The record is from RNAcentral.
AGGAUGCAGAGGUGGAGCAGGCACAGGGGAGCUGGAAGAGAUCCUGGACUGCUGUCCUACUUUGGUGCUUUUUUCCUGGUCUUGAUGAGUUUUCUCACAUGCAAGCCUGAUGGUGACAGCACAAGAAAUAUAGCUGAUAAUGCAGAACAACAGCUCUGCUUCAGCACAGCAGAGGACAAUGGGCCAUAGGAAAUGGGACACAUUAAGAGUUAAGUAUGUCUUCCUAAAUGCUGAGUGAGCACAAUCCCAUGUAUUCCAUGCUGUGUACGCCUAUGUCUGCCUUUCAAAAGCCAUAAUAACCAACUGAUAAUCACCCUGAUUAAUUUCACAUAUUAAG